UACAGAGGGGGCGAGCGUUGUUCGGAAUUACUGGGCGUAAAGGGCGCGUAGGCGGCCUUCUAAGUCGAACGUGAAAUCCCCGGGCUCAACCCGGGAACUGCGUCCGAUACUGGGAGGCUUGAAUCCGGGAGAGGGAUGUGGAAUUCGAGGUGUAGCGGUGAAAUGCGUAGAUAUCUGGAGGAACACCGGUGGCGAAGGCGGCAUCCUGGACCGGUAUUGACGCUGAGGCGCGAAAGCCAGGGGAGCAAACGGG
Molecule: ribosomal RNA, 253 nt
Filed under: uncultured bacterium
Lineage: Bacteria
Description: partial 16S ribosomal RNA
Rfam family: Bacterial small subunit ribosomal RNA
Source: RNAcentral